Molecule: transfer RNA, 63 nt
Filed under: Pseudoniphargus sp. 1-Basque
Lineage: Eukaryota; Metazoa; Arthropoda; Malacostraca; Amphipoda; Allocrangonyctidae
Description: tRNA-Leu
Source: RNAcentral
ACUAUUUAGGCGGAUUAAGCGCGUUAGGGUUAGAACCUAAAUUUGAUUAAUUAUCAAAUGGUG